Molecule: unclassified non-coding RNA, 414 nt
Filed under: Hevea brasiliensis (rubber tree)
Lineage: Eukaryota; Viridiplantae; Streptophyta; Magnoliopsida; Malpighiales; Euphorbiaceae
Source: RNAcentral
AGGAGACGCCAUGUAGGGCCGUAAGAGGCCGCGUUGAUACUAUGCUGAUUGCUACUGCUGAUUUUAUCAAUAGCAAGAGCAGGGGGGCGGUCAGCAAAAACUGCGCCGUUUUCGAUCAAGGCAUGGUGGGCAAGGUAGCGAUCAGCAACGAAGAUGAAGGGCCGACGACCGAUGUGAAGGGUGAUAACAGGGCCGAACUUGGGGAGGAGGGAACGAAUGACGGGCUCGAGUUUGGUGUAGGUAUAGCGGAGCCAUAGAAUGUUGCCGAUGAUAGGAACCUUAAGGGGGCCUGGAGGGAGGUUGAGGUUGAGGUUGGGGUCCUUGGAAGGAAAGAAAAGAUUGAUGAGAGCUUUCGGAAAAGCAGUAAUGGUCAUGGAGAUGAGAAUGAGUAACCACGUUUCCAUGAGAUAGAAG